UUCUAGUAAACGAAGCAAAAAAGGAGAUAAAAAUGGGAAAGGCUUGAGACACUUUUCAAUGAAAGUGUGUGAGAAAGUUCAACGAAAAGGUACAACAUCGUACAAUGAAGUCGCUGAUGAGCUGGUGUCAGAGUUCACCAAUUCAAAUAACCAUUUGGCUGCUGAUUCGGCUUAUGAUCAGAAGAACAUUAGGCGAAGAGUUUAUGAUGCUUUAAAUGUGCUAAUGGCAAUGAACAUAAUUUCAAAGGAAAAAAAA
This 256-nucleotide non-coding RNA is filed under the name Pan troglodytes (chimpanzee). RNAcentral also lists the same sequence under 1 other name. The record is from RNAcentral. Lineage: Eukaryota; Metazoa; Chordata; Mammalia; Primates; Hominidae.